GACGUCACAUUGUUGCUUGUUUUUACUUUUUUGAAAGAGCUACUCUCGAACGUAGAUUAGCCAUUGCCGUCGUGUCGGCUGCAAGACGUUCUGCGCGCGCUUGGCGCGCUUUUGUGCGUGUCGAAAGCGUAUAACGUGCGCGAUGUUCGUGCGAGCGCAGUUUGACUUGAGCAAUCGUGGGUUUGGACUCCGUGACAUUUGCUUUCGUCAUAUGCGAGUUAGGGGCUUGCCGACAGGUAAACCGCCGCUGUACUUAGAUGCAAAAGCUGCCUCCCUUAUCUGGAACAGAAUAAAUUCCUUUCGAAGGCAAAAUAAAAAACAGAAAGAGAAGUCA
This 334-nucleotide long non-coding RNA is filed under the name Dermacentor andersoni. RNAcentral describes it as "uncharacterized LOC126539852". Lineage: Eukaryota; Metazoa; Arthropoda; Arachnida; Ixodida; Ixodidae. The record is from RNAcentral.